RNAcentral lists this long non-coding RNA (582 nucleotides) under Homo sapiens (human). Its description in RNAcentral is "HSALNT0211477". The record is from RNAcentral. Lineage: Eukaryota; Metazoa; Chordata; Mammalia; Primates; Hominidae.
CAUGGCUAUUCCCCCCUUUUAUACUGACUUGGUUGGGUCUGACAGAGACCAAAGCAGCGUCGAAAACCGCGAGCGAGGAAGGGCUGCUCCUGCCCCCUACGGUGCGGGGUGGAACUGCACAAAAGGGCCACGAUCAGCCAGGAGCCCCUACCUGUGCUAAAAAAAAAAAAAGGGUGGUGUAUUUACCGUAUGUGCAAUGGAGCUUUCAACACAGCAAAGUGGAAAAUGAAAUUGAAUCACCAUAUUUUACAAUGAGCUGUAACGCAAAAAAAAAGAAUCGGAGCCGUUAAUAAGGACAACUACAUAACAGCGCGGGAAUGGCUGGAGAAGGGGAGAGAACAGUGUAAGAGAAUGAGGCAUCACCAGAAGCUAAAGAAGAAAAGUCGAUGAAGUACAUGUGGUCAGGAUGUUACAGAGAGUUUCCAGAGAAACCCACUGGUUCCAAACAAGCUGAUUUCUGAGAGAAUGGAAAGAAGAGUGUUCAACCAACAACCAUCUCCCCAGGUUCCUGCUCACUCUCCCCUGAUUUCUCCUUUUCCCAAAUUUGCCCUUGCAAACUCUUUCUUCUCCUCUCUUCUGCCC